Molecule: non-coding RNA, 1322 nt
Organism: Epinephelus lanceolatus (giant grouper)
Lineage: Eukaryota; Metazoa; Chordata; Actinopteri; Perciformes; Serranidae
Source: RefSeq, a predicted model, not a curated record
GCCCACGCUGACACGGGGAGAACAUGCAAACUCCGCACAGAAGGGCUCCCACGCCCGGGAUCGAACCGGCAACCCUCUUGCUGUGAGGCGGGAGUGCUAACCACCACACCACCGUGCCGCGCAUUUAAUCAUAUAAGCACUAAUUCCUCUACAAAUAUUAAAUGUUAUAACUACCCUAAAUAUUACCAAAAUACUAGGCAUAUAGCUGACAAAGGUGAUGAUUAUCUAUCCACAAAACAAACAAAUGCUGUCAUGUCACAUAUUAAGUAUUUAUACAGUAUACUUUCAGAAAAACACACCUGCAUUUCUGUGUUGCAUGAAUCAAAUAUUAAUUUCAAUUAAUGGAAAUGUGUCAAAUUUGCCUCUUGCUACUGUUACAUGAAAAAUCUGAGGAAAUGGACAUCAACGCUGUUGACACAUUAGGCGAUUAUUAAACAUAACAAAUGGAGUUCAUGUUGUAGACUUUUUUUUGAUUUUCUGUUGAUGCUAGAUGGUAAGAGAGCCAGCUUAAGGGAAAUGAAAUGAUGCCAACAUUUCAAAUAUUUUUCUCAGAACUCAUAAGUAUGUAUUGAAAUCAAGGUUUUGACACAGGAAAUAUUAACAUUAUGAUUUAAAAAGUUGUAAAACUACAGGGUUUGCCAUUGUCUGUUUGAAAUGAAUGCACUCUGCAGAGGUGGAAUGUAACGAGGUGGUUGUCCUUGACAAUGUCUGAUUUUAUUACAUCUUAAUGAAUGUGUGACAGUGUUGACAAAAAUGGGGACACAAUUUUAAAACGUUAUGAAACAUGUAUGUGUCAUUGAAAAACAAUUUUGCUCUGAUCUGGGACAUUAGUAAGUGUGCUUCUGAUGAAACAGGCUGUUAUUUUUUUUCUCCAGCUUUUAAAAUGCACUCUUAUAUAUAAAUAAAUGUAUAGAUAUGUGUUUUUGUCCAUUUGUCAUGAUUCAUUUGUGUAAGUGCUCAGUCAUGUUUUUCUGUCAUGUUUUGUUUUGUUUUUGCAGUACGCAUGUGGUGAUCUGGCGGUGCCGUGGCAGCAGCUCUAUGAGCAGUGCUGCCAAACAACCGGUGAGCUGCUACAGGUCCUGGUGCGCCAUGUAAGGCGCAGCAGGGCCUCACAGCAGCAGCACCAACUCCUGCAGCAGUCAAUACGGCGUCUAUGUAUAUGCAGAGGGAAGGGAGAGGGAUCUCCGCCAGCAGGUGAAGGACCUCAACCAGCAGAUGAAGAUAUUGGUGCAGCUGACACUGAGCCAGGGGUCAAGCCGGAAGAGGGGAUUGUAGAUGAGAAAUAAAACAAAAAAAUAAAAAAUAAUUUCUUUGUUAAAGUG